AACUCGGCCAUUUAGAGGAAGUACAAGUCGUAACAAGGUUUCCGUAGGUGAACCUGCGGAAGGAUCAUAGUUAUGGAGAGGUCAGCCUUCACAGGCCCCUCGUCACCCUCUGGUUGCAAUGCGCUGGCGCGCUAGUCUUGGCCUUUUGGCCUCGACAAACCAUUUGUAACUCAUGCCAUGCUUACUUGACAAUGAAAAGUAAAUUACAACCAGUAGCGUUGGAUCCCUUGGCACGUCAUUCGAUGAAGACCGUUGCAAAAUGCGAUAAGUGGUGUGAUAUGCAAGUCCAAAACUUAUACGUGAACCAUCGAAUUGUUGAACGCACUGCAUCGUCCUUACCCAGGAACGAUACGCCCCAUUGAGCGUCAUUAUCUCUUCGUGACCUGUCAUUCAUUUUGACUCGUCCGGGUUCGGGAUCCAUGGCUCAGCCACGUCUCCUCAGAUUUAUGCGUGUGCCCGAGUGCGGCAGCGACCUUGUCAUGAGUGUCAGGGCGGGCUGGCUUGCUCGGAGUGCAGGAUCCUCCCUUGCGGACGGAUCAAAAAUGCGCCCGCGUCCACUGCGGGAGCAACCUUCACAUGACCUCACGGGGGCGGGACGACCCGCUAGACUUAAGCAUAUUAAUCAGCGGAGGAAAAGAAACUAACAAGGAUUCCCCUAGUAAC
Molecule: ribosomal RNA, 663 nt
Filed under: uncultured Tulasnella
Lineage: Eukaryota; Fungi; Basidiomycota; Agaricomycetes; Cantharellales; Tulasnellaceae
Description: eukaryotic LSU rRNA
Rfam family: 5.8S ribosomal RNA (bases 208-368)
Source: RNAcentral